This is a non-coding RNA of Phalacrocorax carbo (great cormorant), 8968 nucleotides long. The record is from RefSeq and is a predicted model, not a curated record. Lineage: Eukaryota; Metazoa; Chordata; Aves; Suliformes; Phalacrocoracidae.
UGAGUGCGCAGUGGCAGCGCGCAUGCGCAGUGCGCGGCGCGGCGGGGACGGUCUGGCCGCGGUGGUGGGACGCCCUGAGGGGAACCAUGAGGGGAGCUGGGGCUGUCGCCGGCUCCGGGGCUGCCCGCCGUGCUUCCAGAGCUGUGUGGAGCGUGGAGGCGGCUUCUGAAAGCCAUUUAAAGGUCUGGAGUUUCUUCAGGAAUAUUUUAUGGGAGAGACUGAAAGGCUGUGCUGAAGUCCAGGUGAACACCUGCUGCUCCUCCCUCAACACAGAUGCCUAUCAGAUGAGGAAUAAAGCAUAGUUGGAGAACCUGUUUACAUCACAUCUAUGUACUAACUUACUGGUCCGACUGUGUGAGAGACAGAAAAUGCCGUACUCAGGAAAUAAAUAUGAAGAAAGUCCCAAUGCUUAGAAGCACCCCACUGUCAUUUUCAACUGCUCCCCAUUGUUACAGCAUAGAAAUACCGGCGCGUAGAAGCUAAGUAUUAAAAAAAUCGAUUUUCCUGUCAGUUUGUGUACAUCCAAAUUCUCUUUGGAUGUGGGCAGUUGUGUGCAUCAAGAGGAGAGUAAAACCCUACAGAUACGUCUGAAUUCCAAGUGUCAUUUUCUUUAAACGGAGAAUAAGUGGAUUGGAGCUGGUAAUAUCAAGCAGCUCUUGCAAGCCCUCAACGUUCCUCUUUUGGAUGCAGAAAGAGCUCCACAAAAAAGCAGAAGAGGCUGAAGACAUUCUUCCGUAGGAGUAUGCUUUGAUGAUACAAUUCUGACAGAAGUUUUUGUCACAGCCCCUCACGUCUUGAAACAGAGAUGUUUCAGAAGAUAACCAGUGAAUUUAAGAUCUUCAGCCGAUACUUGGUUUUGAUCCAGUCGUUGCCUGAAAAUUGCCUGUCUGUUAAACUUGUGAAAUCGAUGGUGGAGAAAGAAGUUGGUAAGGGGUGACUCAAAAGCGGCACGUUCCACCAGUGGGUAUACCACCCAGAACACUCUAAAUGUGUAUAGCAUCCCGGCUUGGCAGCGUGCUGGUGCGUGCCAAAUCAGUGGCCUUUUCUGAGGGGACGCGGCGAUUACUGGUAUGAUCAGCUCUCGAGCGUCAGCGAGGGCUCAGUGCUCGUACAAGACAGAAGACCCCGACCCCGUCCCCUGGGCCUGGGUGAGCAGAGCCUCUGCCAAGUCCAGCCGACGAUUUGGAUGCGAGGCUGACUGUGGCCUGCUAAAACGCCCAGUGAUUAUAUGGAAUUAAAGGCUACUCAGCGUACUCGGGUCCUCGUUUCUUACAUGCUUCCAAGGUGGUAACCGCCUGCCGACAGAUUAUGGCUCCUUCCAUUAACUUGUCAUUAAGCAUCCAUAUUUUGAAAUGCUUUCCUCAACUUGGACUCAUCUAUUUGACAUUCUUUUGUGGUGUUGGUCUCAAAUAGUUUAACCUUUCUGAAUUCCUUUCAUAGUUUUUAUAUAAUUUCUCCCGAUGAAAGCUGAAAUUCCUCUUUGAACGUUGGCUCACUUUUAAUUUUAUGCUGUAUCCCACUGUCGUUAGAAAUUAUGGCUGAUUACCAGAUCUGAGUCCAGGAAAAAGCACUUUUAGUACUUUUUUUUUUACUUUAAAAAGAAACUUCUCUACGCUGUUUGUGUAGGUCCCAGUCUACCUUGUAGUCCGUAUUACUUUGCUGGAUUCCUGAAUGAUGUGGAAGGCAAAGUCAAGAGUGUUUGGUCUGGUGCUGCCGGGAAAUGUCUUAUGAAGCACAAAACAGCCCUCCCCUGUUCUGGCAGUUCCCCAUUGCUAGUCUUCCAUUUCUUCGUUCUUCCCUUUUUCUCUUCUUCCCUCUUCGUUCAUGUAGGAGCUGGGUGUUAAUUCUGUGUUAAAUCCUAAACACGCAUAUUCACUGUUGAUGGCUUUCAGUGUUUCCUGUUUCCUUUAACUAAUUUCAACUUGAAGAGCGUGGUUUUGCUCCGUGCCUUUCACCGUUACAGAGCCCACAUUUACACGUUAAGGACCCUUUUGAGGCCCGUGCCCUCAGCCUCAGUGUCGUGUUUGCCUUUUCACCAUUCCUGGUGUUUUAUCUGCAAACUGGUGGUAACUCUUGUUACUUCUGCAUGGUUUGUAGUAGAUUAUAUGACUGCUCUACACUUUUUUAACACUAUAAUCUUCUUGUAUCCUUCCUAAUUUUGAGCAAUUAGCUGAUUAUCUUCCACAGCCAAGCUGCUACAUUUGCCCUUCCUCAUUUUUCCUUUUCCUCUCAAGCAGCAACGACAGUGCUUUGUGAACCUCCCAGAGCAGUCAAGCGCCUGUGCUGUCGCUUGUGCGUGAUCUCUGGGCACGCAGCGCCAUCUGAAGAAGUCUUCAGCAGUCCGAAGGCUCUGCAUUUACAUCCUCAUGUCAACUUUCCUCAACUUUUACGUGAAGUUUUGCUGUACCUGGCUGUAAAGAGAAUGUAGUGCAGCCCAGAACAAGUAUGACUAAAAGGGUACUCCCAGUUAGCACCACCACGGCAACGGAGAUAAAGUGGAGGCUGAGCUCAGGAGAGAGGAAACAAUCUCUUCUUCUGUUCCUCUUCCGUGUGACAAGGUAAUUACCUUGCUCGAGCCCUAAGCAUGUUCCUUAUCUAUCUUUAGAAAUGGAUUCUGCGGCUUUUCCUUCACUUACAAAUUUUUAAAGGCAAUUUGGCAGAGAACAGAACAAGCCAGACGAUGAUUGUGAAAUUGAAGCAGAUCCUGUUAAAAUACAGGUGAAAUGUCUAAGUUCAAUAGGACGUCCUGUGUAUGGCUCCCUCCCUGGGCACAGAACUGUUCACAGCUGACUCAUGACUGCAGAGGUAUUUGGGGAGCUGAAAGAAAACGGACAUGGGAAGGUACGGAGCUCUUAGAAUAGAAGUACGAGAGGAAACAGCCCCAAGUUGCACCUGGGGAGGUUUAGAUUGGAUAUUAGGAACAAUUUCUUCACAAAAGGGUUGUCAGGCACUGGCACAGGCUGCCCAGGGCAGUGGUGCAGUCGCCAUCCCUGGGGGCGUUAAAAGACAUGUAGACGUGGUGCUGAGGGACGUGGUUUAGUGGUGGGCUUGGCAGUGCUGGGUUUAUCGUUGGACUUGACAACUUGAAAGGUCUUUUCCAACCUAAACGAGUCUAUGGUUGGUUCUAUGACUGUAUCUACCAUUUACAAGCAGGCUCCAAAGUCGAUGCAGUGGAGGGCGUGCACCCUGCAUAACACCACCCUGUCUCCCCAGCAGUGAAUAGCCAAAUCAGCAUUUGGAGAGUCAGUUUGCCAUGCGGUCUGCAGGGAGAAGUUCUGAAACCUAGAAAAACAGCAGAUGGUGACUGGCUUUAUUUAUUUAUGCCUUCAACUCUUUAAGAGUUCAGGCUUCGCUGUUUCGUAACUGUGGGUUGUGGCCAUCCUCUUUCUUCCCACGGGUCACAGGGGAGAUCUACAGGGCUAAAAAAAGAUUAGAGUCUUAUUUUUUAUUUAACAAGAUAUAGCAAUUGAUUAGUUACAUGGAUUAAAAAAGAGAAGACUAAAACUCAAGCAAAUAAAGCCCAGUGAUGACACUGAGCUGAGCGGUGCAGUCGAUUUGCUGGAGGGAAGGGCUGCCACCCAGAGGGACCUGGACAAGCUGGAGAAGUGGGCCCAUGUGAACCUCCCAAGCUUCAACAAGGCCAAGUGCAGGGCCCUGCACAGGGGCCGGGGCAGCCCCCGGGAUCAAUCCAGGCUGGGGGAUGGAGGGGUGGGGAGCAGCCCUGCCCAGAAGGACUUGGGGGUGCUGGGGGGUGAAAAGAUGGACACGAGCCGGCAGCGUGCGCUCUCAGCCCAGACCCCCAGCCGUGCCCCGGGCUGCAUCCCCAGCAGCGCGGGCAGCCGGGCGAGGGAGGGGGUGCUGCCCCUCUGCCCCGCUCUGUGAGACCCCCCUGCAGCGCCGCCUCCAGCUCGGGGCUCCUCAGCACGGGACAGACACGGGGCUGUGGGAGCGGGGCCAGGGGGGGCACAGAAAUGCUCCGAGGGCUGGAGCCCCUCUGCUGCGAGGCCGGGCUGGGAGAGCUGGGGUUGUGCAGCCAGAGAAGGGGAGGCUGCGGGGAGACCUUAUUGCAGCCUUCCAGUACCUGAAGGGGGGGCCGUAGGAAGGAUGAGGAUGGAUCCUUUAUCAGGGAGUGUAGGGAUGGGAUGAGGGGUGAUGGUUUUAAACUGAAAGCCAGUAGGUUUAGAUUAGAUAUUAAGAAGAAAUUCUUUACUGUGAGGGCGGUGAAAGCCUGGCCCAGGCUGCCCCGAGAGGCGGUCGAUGCCCCAUCCCUGGGAACACCCAAGGCCAGGCUGGACGGGGCUCUGAGCAACCUGCUCUGGCUGAAGGUGUCCCUGCUCACGGCAGGGGGUUGGGCUGGGUGGCCUCUAAAGGUCCCUUCCCACCCAACUUCCAACCCCUUCUGUGACUGAGCUGGAACAGCAAUAAUGUGAAUAAUGAAUAGAACACAGUAGAUGAAAAAGCAGUGCCAAGGACAUGACAUCACUUCUAACACAGCCAUAACAAUGAAAGGAAUAGUUUAAAAUAUUCAUAAAUAUUAUGGAGCUCUAAAAUCAAGUGUUUUAUUCACGAACACUAUCUGGACACUCCUGAUGUCUGAAAAAAAAAAAAAAUUUAAAAGUCUUAUUUAGGAAAAGGGGACCAUCAGGGGCUCCCUGGAGCAUGAAGCCCAACACAUCAGUAGCGACAGACCACCCCUGUAGCUCCGUGUAUUCUCUGCUGGUUUACAUUUUGUCACACAGCCGCUGUCUCCCAAGGUCUAGCAAGGCUUAUCCACAGCUCGUGCGGCCCCAUUGUCCUUGCACCAGUGCUGAGCAGCUGCUUUGCCCCCUUAAUAGUUGUCCUGGUGACAGACAGCCUUUUACCUUUCGGUUUUUAACUCGGGCUUCUCACCACGUCGGAGCCUCUCCCUGAUUAUUCAGCAGCCUUUCAGUGCCCUUGUUCCAGCGUGGCUAGCCUGCCCUGCCCGCGGGCGAGUGGCACCACGCGGCGCAUCUGCCUGCCCUCACGGAGUUCGUCGCUGCUGGCAGUACCGCACUUCCAGAACUGCUUCUCCUUCCCAGGGCUGACUCAGACCGACGGCUUACGAUCACAGGGUAAGACUGAUUAAUACACCCAGGGCCUUCUCUCCCCGCCCCAGUUACUGCGCACCCACUCCCAGAGCAGAAGCUUGUGUUAGUUGUCCCUGAACACCUUGAGACGUGGGUGCGCAUGGCUGAAUGUCACGUCACGGCUUGCUUGAGCUGGGCUUUCCCACGUCCGCAUGCACGUGUAGCCCAAGUUUGUGUCAUCGGCUCAGUGUGCUGGGAUACUCCCAGCUUUUGGGGCAAGUGUCACUGAUGAAAGGCCUUAGAAAGAUGCACGUCCAGACCGGCCCCUGAGGGAUUCCACGAGGCUUCUCCAUCCAACCUGGUACCCUCCUUUCAGCGCUACCUGUUAAGCCCCUUUGAACCAGUUCUUUUACUUUAUAUUUAUCUCCUCAAGUUUUAUUACUGAUUUCCCACAUAACUGUUUCUUGUAUCAUUUUUACUACUGAAGAUACCCCUUAUUUUAUCUGAUGAGAAACGAUUUAUCGUGCCACGCACCGAAUUAGUCUGCACACCCCUUGGGCGGGAGCGCGUGGCUUUGUGUCCCACUUAGCAGCACGACUUCAGCAUCAGAACUGCCGGGGCCUCGCGUACGACUGAUGUAAGCGCCUCUCAAAUGCCGGCAGCGCCGUGCGGCACAGGCUGCCACAGCUCUCCUGACGCUGCCGGUACCUGAGCUGCGGCGCCUCUGUCGGCCCUUUCAAAAAGCCAUCGCCUGGUUGCGGCGGUGCGAGUAACGGCAUCCUCAGUGAGCACAGGAGGAGUAUUACUGCUGCUUUGGGCGGGGUUUGGGCCGCGCCUGAAGAGUAUCGCUAAUCAUCGUUUCUUCUUUUCCUCUUUUUGCGGUCUGUCUCUACGUGAGGUGGUAGAAUUGAGGGGGGGUGUCUGCUAACGCUACGUCAAACUCAGCGGGACGUCUUGUAGUCGCUCUUUGCAGGACGCAGAUUUCUUUAUGGCUCUUUGCUUCUCCAUUUUACGGUCACUCUUUACGCUCCUGACAUGAUUAUUCCCACGGGCAGGUUCACAGCCCCGUCACGGUACCUUUCCACACUUGAAAUAGAGAUUGUUGCUAGUUCUAAUAUAUUCCGAGAAAAGAAAUCCCAGGCUUCCUACACAUUCCCAGGCGCCUCAGUCCCGCUGAUUUUACUGACGUUAAGUGCAGUCAGCGUUUACCUGUCAGAAAUCCACAGAGCCGGCUACAGAGCUAUUUCUCCGAGUCCCUCCGUGUGAGAGAAACCACGGUGCCACCACCUGGCACAGGUCUCUGCCUGUUCCUCUCUUUCUCCCAAACCUACGGUUCAACGCCCCGAAACGCUUCAGGGCCCCAAGACGUGAGGCUCGAGGGAACUGCAGUGUUUGUUAAGGCUUUGUAUUAAACCAAAGUUUUCCCCUCGAAAUGUGUCGAAAAAAUUUUCCAGAUGUCCUCAGCUAAUAAAGCCAGAAAAAUGUAGUUUGUUGUCAUUUAUCAGGGCCCCAUGAGAGACAAAGGUAAUCGUUGGAAAAUCAACAUUAGCAGUACUAGCGACCAUAAAAUCAUAUGCUUUUUAUUUAACAUAAAAUGAAACAUUAGGAGAAAAUACACAUUUGUCCAUGUGCUGAAGAACUACUGUAUUUUACAUUCAUUUAUAAAGCAGGUAGUUUUACAUGACAAAAAUAAGUGAGAGGAAGAGGAACAGAAUCCGCAAUAAGACGGAAGCCACAGGGCAGGCUUUUGCUUGUCAAAGUGCUAUCUCCUAAGGGCACACAGAUCUUCAAGUGACAGGUUAGGAACGGGCUGGUUUUAGCGCUCCUCAGAUCCCUCGUAAUGCUGGUGAGAAGCUAAGGUGGAAUCUUAUACAGCAAAAUGAGUGGAAAAACUCGUUGACAAAUCGCCCUUUGCCAAAAUGCAUAGCUGCAGCACGGCGGACCGCGUUCGUCCCUGCUGUAUUGCGCCUUUGCUCGAACCGGCCCGUGAGGUUUUCUUAAAUGCCUAAAAGUUACGUUACUGAACUACAAUUGCUUCUUUUUUUAAUUAUUGUUUUCCCCUUACAAACCUCGCCACGGUUCUUAUUUCAGUGUGACUUUGCGAACGGGCUGCGAUAGGGUUUGGGCUUACAGUCGCGCAGAAGAUUUGCGGCAACGGAAGGUGCUGCGAAUCCAGCGAAGGCGGCUCUCUGUGGGGGUGCCCUUGGCACGCCUCUAGACGCCAGAGCGCGAAAAACCCGACUGAACGCUCUGCCCCUGAGGCUCGGGGCCACGCCUGGCCCGCCCAGCUGCAGGUGGGCUAAGAGCACCCGCACAGACGGGACAGUUCAAGUCGCGUCAGUCGGGAAACAGUCCCGCGGCAAGCUGCCGUAGCUGUGUGGUACUUACGUGUUUCCAGGCCCGCCGUGCCUGCGGGGCCACGCUCCUGGCCUCUGGGCUGCGGGGAGCCUGCAGGCCCGGCCUCCGCACGUUACAGCCCCGGCCUCCACGCGUUACAGCCCCAGCCUCCGCAUGUUACAGCCCGGCCUCCGCACGUUACAGCCCCGGCCUCCACACGUUACACCCCAGCCUCCACGUGUCACACCCCGGCCUCCACACGUCACACCCCGGCCUCCGCAUGUUACAGCCUGGCCUCCACGUGUUACAGCCCUGGCCUCCACACGUCACACCCCAGCCUCCACACGUCACACCCCGGCCUCCACGUGUUACAGCCCGGCCCGGCUCUUCCAAUACAAAAUCUAUAACGCAGCAUCCGAGAAGUCUUAACUGAAAGGUACGGGAGACAGUCGGUUUUACGUUUUAAGUCGGGACGGGAAGGAAUGGGAGAUGCAGCAGUACCAGGGGAAUAAGGAAUGUUUUUUCAUUUUAAAAAAGUGCAGCAGAUCAAAACACGUUGCUAUUAUAUAUUUUGUCUAACCCAUAUACCUUAAAUACGAAAACAAAUACAAAAGCUGUUAAUUCUCAGGCCUGUGGUGACUUUGCAAGGUGAAACGCCACCAGAAGACCGAGGUGAAGCUGGUCUUGCUAUGUACACUUCCUACCCAAGCGCCAGCCGUGCGUCGGUGCGCGCACGCGCACACGCAGCUGCGCCGCCCCCGCCCCCACGCAUACGCGCCCCCAGGCCGCGGGCUUUCUCAUAGUGCAACUGUUUAUAGAGCGAAAGCCCCGCUCCGCGGGCCGGCGGCAAGUUUUGACCAAGUAUCGGGUGCCACGGUCUGUUUUUUCUCAAGAGAUUCCUAUAACAAUUGUAGCAGUAUAAAAAUACCAGUGGCCUGCCUUUUCACGGUUCGGAUUUGUACUUUUAGACCGUGACUCAUUAAUGCGUCUUCUUUCCCCACAUUCAGUUUCCUUCCCUGUAAGUCCCAGCAACAGAGAGCCGCUGUAAACACCUCCAAUUUACAGACAGGAUUCCUGCAAUCGCUUGCUGGAGGAAGUGGAAUAGCGUAAAUGUCAUCUGAGACUCGUCCGAGCCAAAGGGGGCAUCACAGAGAAGGGGCCGCACCGUGCCGCCCGCCCCGGGGGCCCCUUCGCCUCCCUGCGCGCUCUGGGCGCACAACCGGGGCCAGCAAUGGCAGGGCGGCCCAUCUCCUCGGCUUUCAGAAACGGGGAUGUACAGAAGGAGCCGUUACUUGUUGUUUGCUCUAAUAUAGUUCCGCGACGCCGCGCCAGGAGGCCGGGGUGUCUCAGCUUCACCUGAAAGCGCCGCUGCCUCCCCACCUGCACCCCUUCGGAGCCCGGCCCGCCCUGCGGCCGCCCGGUGCUGCCUGCGCCUAUCAGAUAGUGGCGGCUCAAGCAGGGCACCUCUAGGAUCCCGUUCCUCAUAAGCACUCGCUCCGUUUCUAGUAGCUGCAAAGAUGUAUCAUCCUCUAUGGUGCGGCUUUCGCCAAAAUUCCUGCAAAGUAAAAAAAAAACAAACCAAA